Felis catus (domestic cat) is the source of this 8147-nucleotide long non-coding RNA. RefSeq lists it as uncharacterized. The transcript is spliced from 7 exons. The record is from RefSeq and is a predicted model, not a curated record. Lineage: Eukaryota; Metazoa; Chordata; Mammalia; Carnivora; Felidae.
ACCAGGGGCGCGGGGCGGGGCCUAACGCGGACCUAACGGAACCGCGAAGGCGGGGCCACGCGGCCCCUGCCCUGCCUGCCCUGUACUCUCGGUUGUGCGCAGCCCCUCGGCCGCCCUCGUCACGCCCCAGGCUGACCCCGGGAGAGCAGCGGCUGUCCGAGGAAAGGGGCCGUCUGACAGACCCCACCGUCGCGGGGGUGCUGGGUCCCCGCAACGUCUUUGUGCCCACCGCCCACGGGGACCCGCGGGACUGUCCUCCCGGUGAGGCCACAGGGAUCCACGGACUGUCUUCCUACUGAGGCCCCUGUGGGUCCAAGCGGGUCACCGGCCCCUCCCUCCAGCAGAUGCCACAACGUAUCUGCUGUGUGUGACACAGCCUGGCAGGUGCUUUCCGGAAAUGGUUCAUUCACAACCAUUUGGCUGGCCUGGCACGUCCUGGGAUGCAGGUGCACAUUUACAGGGAGAGGCAGGUGCCGCCAGGAGCCACCGGCAGGAAUCAGGAAACACUCCCCCGGUUCUCGUCUCCCUGUAAUAAGUCACAGCCCUCGUGAAGGAGCCGGACCCGGGCCUCAGGCUCGCCCCUUCACGUCUGUUUGCAGGCCCCCAGGAACCAGACGACCUUCCGUCUUCUCUGGUGCUGGCUGCUCAGUGGCCCGGCGCACGGCCUCCUCUGACGGUGACAAUUACAGGAUGCUUUGAUACGUGGGGGCCUCCCUGAUGUCACGGGGACUGCGUCCCCUAGGGUGGUGACGACACCCCACCCACCCGCCUGCUUUCUCCGGCUCUCAGCCAUGGGGCUCUGACCCCCGGGGCAGCCCCUGUACCAGAGGAACUGAAAUUACUCAGACCUGCCAGUCCCCGGUAUGGUCAGCUGUCCCCUUGCCGGCUCAGUCCUUCCUAUGAAAACCACAGUAAGGCUUCCCCCCUCACUUCUUCUGCCCCUGACCGACCCUGGGGCCUCCAGGGGGGUGGCCCCGUGGGACCUGCCCUGCCUCCUGUGUCCAGGAAUCUGCGACCUUCAGCUGCUUCCUUCACGAUGAUCGCUUCGUGCCUGCGUGUCUCACGAGGCCUGCGUCCAGCAGAUCCCAGGCAUACACCCUCCGCUCAGUUGCGUACCUCCAUUUUCAGAAGAACCAACAGUUCUUUCAGCCCGGUUGAAAACUAACAAAUAAAAAACCAAAGACCAAAGUCGCCUAAAAACAGAACGCAGCUGACAGCAGCAGGAACAAAACAGUGAGUUUACAAGGUGUCUGUGUUUAAAAUCCUCGUGGGUAAGAAGAUGUUGGGAGACCGAUGCUGCUUUCUCUACGUGGCGUCCGAGGCUCAGAGCUGAGGGCCCGAUGGUUUACGGGGCCCACAGUCUGAGGUGGAUAAGAACAUCUCAAGUCAGCUCUCCAAGGACUUUGCUAAGAGACAGCAGCCCCCCGACAGGAAGGCAUGCGGGCCCGUCCCUCGCCUGCCCUGCGCCCUCUUGGUGUUCCCCGACGUGAAGCCAUUCGUUGGCCAACCGAGUCUCCGUCGGUGUAGACGGCACCGGAGGCAUCUUUGAAUUGCGGGGCCCCGCCCGCCUGCCAGAGAGUCGUCGAUGCGGCCGGCCUCGGAGGUGGCCGGUGCCCCAAAGUCGGAAGGGACCCGGCGCGGGUCAGCCGGAAAGACGGCCGCAAGGCUGCCGGGCUCCCUUUCUCUGGCGCUCAGAGGCUGCGACAGACACCUGACUGUGCAGGCCGCCCUGCGACACUGCCCAGCCCUUCCCGCCAGCAAUGCCAGACCUGAGGGCGGGCUCUUCCAGGCGGAAACGGGCAAGCUUUGUGUCCGGAACGAGCACUCUCAGGGGAUUUAGGUUUGUCUUCUGUGCCGCCGGCACUGUCCACAGGGACCUGGUCCACACGGGACCUCACUGUCAGCAGGGCCACUAACACUGGACUUAGUCGGCUGAGUGUCUUCCGCUCCACGUUUUCGACCGGCAUUAAGGCGCGUGGGGUGCAGGCUGGCGGCUCUCUCCUGUGUCAUGCGGUCGGUCACACUGUCACCUGUGAGGUGUCCCGGGCACCGAGGCCCUAGAUCAACACCCUGUGUUACAAGAGAUGCAGGCCCCAGAGGGACAGUCCCAGGAACACGUUGACCGGAGCCACAGAGAAGCGGCUGGGGCCAGUCGGGAACGUGGGACACUGGGCGGGACAAGCCAGCGAGCCGGGAGUGAGGAAAAGGGGUCCGGCGUCCGUGGAGGUCACAACGGCCCAGCGUGCUGUGUGAACCCGGCCUGACGUGACCAACGCAGAGUCUUCCCGGGACUUCCGCUGAUCUUCCUGGGCGGUAGGGGGCGUGGUGAGGUACAGGAACGGUCGCUCACGGGAGAAAUGGGCGGAGUCGAGUCGAGAGUCCAUAGCGCCUGCGCAAAGGCUCAGCGGCCUAGGCGGGGCGCGAGCGUGGGCACGAGCGUGGGCGCGAGGGCUGCUGGGUGACUAGCCGAGGUGACGACGGCCGGUCGUCUGGAACGUGGGUAUUCAUCUUCUCAUUUAAAAUCCUGUUCUGUGCACUUAGCCGCCCUCAGUCGGCGGGAAAACGUACUUGACCGCGAAACCGUUCUCGCAACGCCCGCUCGCAGGGUGCCCCUCGCGCUGCCGAAGACGAGCCAGAGCGGAGGUGACGGAGACUGCGCGGCUCCUCUGUGCGCAGGCUCCGGGCCGGCGACCUUCCUGCCACUACGCUGCAACCAGGCGGCCCACGGUGCGGCCACUUUGGGUUGCUAAAUAUCUAGAUACUUCCGGCCCGCAUUGCCAGGUCCACCAGGCGUCCCCACCGGCCGGUAAUUACCGUCGCACUGCCUGGCGGCCGAGCCUUCUGCGUGUGGCUCCCCUCACCUCCCGGCCCCGCCGUGGGAUCCGUCAAGCUAGUACUUUCCACGAGCCAAGCCCUUGGGACGGCGCCUGCCACCGGAUGAACACUCGAACUAUUUACAAGAGGUGGACAUCAGCAAUACAGAGAUCAAAUGAGAGAGGCCUCAUCAGAGGGGAGUCGAUGGAGAAAACGGUGGGCAUGUUUUCCUUAUAAUCGGCUGAGCGUGGGGAAAAAAAAGUCACGAACAAAGAGAACUCAAAUAAUGCAACCUGGUGGCGUCUGAAAGAAAUGACCAACAUUCUGAUACGUUAUUAACAAGAAGCAAGACGAGGCGGUGACGGACCGCGGGCCGUACGUUCCCGUCGGGUAUUCUGCAUGCUACUGAACAGAAUUUGUCAAAAGAACCAUAAAAGCAUGAGAGAAGUACGUAAAAGAGCUGGGUCCCAGUGAGGUGUAACUUUGCACAGAGGUGAAUAUUUGGCACUCUGCUCAUCCUCGUUGAUAUGGUUUCAUAUGUAUAUAUAUUUAUAUAUAUAUGUGUAUAUAUAUAUAUUUAUAUACUUCUUUUUAAAACUUGAACUAAACAGCUAGUUUCCUGGUUCUAACGUUCCUUGAACUUCUAUAGGAGGCAUUGAAUUUAGUCCUUAGGCCACCCCUGGGUAUUUUGGCACGUAACAUGGAGGUGGGUAUGUGAGCUGGUCUCUAGACAGGAAGGACCUGUACAAGAGGAAAGUGGCUUAGCGAUCGGAAAUCUGAGUUCAAAAGUAGUCUAGGAUUGUUUACUACUUGUGGGGGAAACCUUUGAAUUCAGCAAACCAGUUAUAAGGUGGAGGGAGGGAGACACAUGCUGAGCCCUUUUACUGUGAUGUGGUCCUAACGCUGGGAUGGCAGGGGCGGGGCAUGGGCGUGAGUUGGGGAAAACCAAAGAAUGGUGAGUGGCGUCCAUAAAGGACCACAGACAGCCUCUGAGCUCCCUUCACGUGUGUUGGCCGAAGCACAGAGCACACCGUCUACUGGCUAGAGAGAGAUUUGUACUUAAAUUGGCACAAGAAACUGGGCCGACGUCGUUCGUCAUGACCCCUCCCCCACUGAGUACGUGAAAGCUUGGACUCCCAAGCCUUUCAGGUUCAGAAUAAGCACCCAUGAUGAAGAGUCACAUAAAAUCUAAGAAAGUAGGGCGGUAAGCCUCUGUUACCUUAGUUGGUGUAUGUACAAAAUCUCUUUAAAAAGUACUGGUGGAGUAGGUAACUAACGUUUCCUCUGCAAAGAAGUCAUCUGUCACGUGUUUACACUGAAACUUGAAAUAAUUUCUUCUCACGCUGGAUAGAAAUGCGAGGGUUAGGGUUAGCGAUUCAUAAAGUUACGGACACGUCGCAAUGUUGCAGGGAUGAAAAGAUGGGUGUUUCUUGGAGCGUUCCCGUGGACCACUUCCGCCUUCUCUGAAGCCUGAGCUAGAACAAUCACAAAGAGUUGGAAUCAGAGGGGCAGAUGUCGCAAACCUUCAGCAAUUUCAGUCUGUCUGAUUCCAUUCUUGAUGUGCUCCCAAAUUGUGUUCCUUCACCCCUUGAACACUGGGCUUGAUAGCCAUCCAUGCAUCUAAGAUGCCGCUGACCUUAAGUAAUGGCGAAGACAUUGCCUAAUUCUGGGCGGCAUCUGGUUCUCUGAGAUACUUAUGAACGGACCUGACUUUUGCCAACGUCCCACACCUGGUGGGGAGGACUAUUGAUUGGCCAGAGGGCCCUGGGCCUCAUCUUGAGUGGUAAUUCAGGCUUUUGCCACCAGUCCGCAAGGAGCUUGGAGGACUUUGGAGCCCACAUGACAUUGAUUUUCAUAAUCUGUCUGCGAGUGAGACAAGAGACAGGAGGAAACAGACGUGAAAUGAAGUCUGGCUGGUGUAUGACUGGGAGCCAGGUUGUUUGAUGGGUCAGCUAGUGAUUUUCCAAAACAUUGUGCGGCCACUCUGUGCUGACGGGCGUGUUGUCGGGCGUGUGGAAGGGCACCUCUCCUCCAACACUCGGUCACCUUCCCUGCCUUACUGCGACCGUCAGCACAGCACAGGGGCCCUGAUAUAACAGACACGGGAGGGGUUCAGAGUGAAGCAAUACGCCCAAUGCUCCAGCCAAGCGGUUGAACGUGUUCCCACUCAGCAGCGGACCACAUCCCCGAUCUCUUCUGCUUGUGGUUUUCUGAUCUGUUUUCAAGUUUUGGCAUCCUGUAUUCAACCCAAACUUUCGAAGGGUAAACAGAUACGCAAAUGAAAACAAAAGAGAACCCUCGGGAAGUUCCAAGGGCAUGUGGCUUGGAGACCACAGUCUGCAACUACCUGAUUAGUGUGUUAAAUUUGCAGUAGAAAAAAAAAAAAAAUCAGUGGUCUUGAGAAGAAAGGAGGCGUCUGGGAAAGCAGCAAGGAGUACACAGAAACGUGUCGAAUUUGGCUUGAGGCGGGUUUCUGGGGGGACCAGACUCAACACUUGUUGACUUGUUGGCAGGACUGUUCUGGUUUUCAGCAGUGGGGGGUCAGACGCCGCACGCAGGUGCCCUCCCACGUGGGCACACUCAAGUGGGACAUGCCACGUUUGUACGCUUCCUGCUGACACCACCGAGAUGUUGGGGGGCCUCUCUCACGAACAGCAGCCCAGCCACUCUGUGCAGCCUGGGGACGCGCCAGCUCCCAGGCUGACUCCAAACAGCAGCACCCGACCUCCUGCCCAGUGAAGGUUCUGGUAACACGCUGGCUGCCCUUCCCAGCAAAAACCCAACUCGGUGUGGGCUGGUGGUCCUCUAAGAGGCUCCACGGGCCACACGAGGUCCGGUCUGGCUGUACCAGCCUUCUGGCAAAGACCAUGACCCCUCUCACUCCUUCCUACUCGCCAGCAAGAGGUCUGGCCCAGAGCAGACAGUGGUUCCGACGAGCGAACACACAGUCACCACGGGAACCUUGGUCAACGGCUGCCGGGUGACGACUUUCUGGAAUGUUCGUCCUGGGUGGGGCUGGGGCAGGGUGUCUGGCAGGGCUGAAAGUACGCAGCCUGGGGUCUUUUGACUGGCGUGCGGGGACCGUGUUGGGAAAGGCAAACAUCUAGAAGACACAACCCCAGAGCAACGAUCGCAGCCCGGCAGUCCUACACGUUUGCGGAGAGGAAGUGGUAACAACCGUUACCGGUGACAACGCAGACGGUGCACGCGACGACGACAAACGAGGAUGGGGGAGAGGAGUUAUGUGCAAAGUGCUCUUGUUCCCAAGCGACAUUCACCUGCUCGGGCUUCGUGGAACUUACAGGUCCUGUUUAUCAUACUUGUGUUUUGAUUUUGAAAGUUAAACUAAAGCCUUCAGCGUGGCGAUGCUGCCGUGAGCAAAACGCUGUGUCAGCUCGUGUCUCGACAGUUAGGCGGUGUCUUCGGGAAGAAUGCUGUCCGAUCUGAGCGUCUCCGGCAUACGCAAAAUCUCUUACUGAAACUAUCUCCAUAACGUGGUGAGACGGCCACACUACAGGUCUGUGGUGCGUAUCUGCCAGAAGUGCCAGAAAUAAGUUGGUUUGAUUGACUAACACAAGUAUUAUAAACAGUUUUAUUUUUCGUUACAUGUACAAUAUGUAAACAUGGCUUAUCUGCAUUUCACGGUGGGAUGUCGCCUGUGUGAGAAGUGAAAAUAUUGCACUGAGUCAUGGUGGCAGGUGACACUGCCUGGGGCCGGCGGCAGGCCCUGGCUGCGUGUCACACGACCUUCUUUGGGACUCGGUGGACCGGACAGGGGUUCGUAUGCACCCCCCACUGCGAAUCGGUGGCCACUGUCACGUUUAGCUACAGGUUAAUCUGCUCACCUAGGGGUGGUUCAGGCCAAAACUUUUGGGGGAUUUUAAGAUAAAAAUGAGUAUACAAAACAUAAAAAAAGAAUCCAAAUUCAGUGAACACUUUCAUUCAAGUCAGGGUCAGAGAAGCUGGGAUCUAGAAUAGUUGUUGUCUAAUCUUAGAAUUUGUCGUUAGACGUUUUGUACAAGCUGCAGGAAAUGAGGUAAAAUGCAUCGGCGGCCAGUAGAUUUACAUGUGUCAGCAGGUCUGGGCGCAUAUGUGCAUUUUACAUUUCCUCUCCCUAGGGCGUCUACGCUGACUUUGCUUUUCUGUGGCUCUUUCUAAAGAGCAGUUCAUCUUAAAUAAUACAUCAUUUUUAAAGUCUAAAAUGCCAAUACUUGCAAAUACAUUUGUUUGUAACAUAGUAUAGUGAGUAUAGGAAGAAGUGUCGUUACUGUAUACUACUCAGGAUUUAAAUAUUUAUUUAGGUAGAAAAAAUGCUUUGAAUACUCUGGGGAAAUAGGAUUCAUUUAUAGAAGAAUAUUUCAGGGAAUUUUUUUUUUUUUGCAUUUUUCAAGGAUAUACAUUCGUACUGAUUUUUGCUUCCAAAUAUAUUUUAAGGCUGUUUGGUAAAAUAUACCAGAUACGAGGCUCAAUUUACAGGGUUUUGUUCUUACAGGGAAUUCUUAACUACUCAGCUUUAAAAAAGUAAGACUUGGAAGGCCAACAUGCUUUAGUAUCAACUGUGCUCCAGUGAACCCCAUGCUUGGUUGGAUGGAGAGUAUGAGGAAAAGAAAACACUGCAGGCCGAAGCAGCACCCCCGGGGGAUGACCUCACUGGAUGUCCUGCUGGUGUCACCAGGCUGCAGGGGGACCUGGGGGCAUGACAGUGCCCGUCAAGCUGAGGAAACAAAGUGCCAGAGGAGUGGGGACUCCGAGUUUGGGAUCCGAGGGAGAGAUUUGACGGGCUCUUCCUCUGCAGACGCGUCUGGACAGGGACACAGGAAAGCGAUGCUGGGAUGACGGUCACUGCGUCUAAGCGUGAUUGUACAAGUGGAAAGCCUUUUCAUUCGAAUCCUUCCUGCUUUGCUCUGGUGCCAGUCAGAAUCCUGAAACCUAAUUACUUUUCUCAGAGUCCACAGCUGGAAAUCACCACAUGUGACCUUUUUUUUUUGUCAUGUCUAAAACAGGCAAGAAAUAUAUUCUUGACUUUAGCGAUACUGCAUAGGACAAAAGAAUUCUGGAAAAAUACAAAUGUAAGCUACAUUUCUUCUUUACCAUUUAAGCUGAGAGAUACCACUCACAUUCAUAUUUCUUAAACUUUUUACAUCACAACUGUCAUUUUAAACAAGCAAACUUUUUUUUUUUUUUUAAGGAUACCCUGGAAAGUCAACUGAUAGAGCAGUUUGAGAAUAUAUAUACAUCCAUAAAAAAAAUCACAGGUACAUAAAUGGGGACACUUACAGACAAGACUGUGUGUGGUAGAAGUUAUGAAGGAAUAAAACAUACGAUGACUCUUU